Long non-coding RNA from Melospiza melodia melodia, 425 nucleotides. RefSeq lists it as uncharacterized. Lineage: Eukaryota; Metazoa; Chordata; Aves; Passeriformes; Passerellidae. The record is from RefSeq and is a predicted model, not a curated record. The transcript is spliced from 4 exons.
CCAAGAAAGGUCAUCAGGAAUCAUAACAACAAACAUGCAUCUUUCUACUGAGAUUUCCACCUGCUGAUAUUGGAACAGGGACUGUUUACUCUUACUGGAAGUACAGCUGUGAAUAAUGGUGUUUUAUUUUCUAAACAUCCCUAUCAGCAAGGAAGUUAAAUUCUUUGCUUCUUGAUAAUGAGACACAGCUCCUGGCAAAUGAGGAGGAGAGAAUAAAAUCCUUAAUAACAGCCUCAGUGAAGCCUCUUUUCCCAUGAAGGUUCUUUAGAGCCCACAAGAAUACACAACUACCAAGACAUCAAACUGCCUGGAUUGUGGUGUGGAUUUCUUAUGAUGGCAGCUCAGCGACACUUGGCUCUUGCAAAGGGACAAUCUCUGAGAGGCAGCAUGGGCCUCCAAUCCCACCUUGGACUCCUUUCUGCAGC